This 600-nucleotide ribosomal RNA is filed under the name uncultured bacterium. Its description in RNAcentral is "bacterial SSU rRNA". It matches the Rfam family "Bacterial small subunit ribosomal RNA", at positions 729 to 1330 of the family's 1533-position model. The record is from RNAcentral.
AGACUCUUUACCUGACCUAUGCUCGAAGGUGCGGGAUAUAGGACCAGGAUUAGAUACCUUGUAGUCCCCCCCGUAUAACAGAUGGAUGCCCGCUGUCUGCGAUACAAAGUAGGCGGGCAAAGAGAAAGCCGUUAAGCAUCCCAAAUGGGGAGUACGCCGGCAACGGUGAAACUCAAAGGAAUUGACGGGGGCCCGCACAAGCGGAGGAACAUGUGGUUUAAUUCGAUGAUACGCGAGGAACCUUACCCGGGCUUGAACUGCAGGGGAACGCGGCAGAGAUGCCAAGGUCAGCAAUGACCCCUGUGGAGGUGCUGCAUGGUUGUCGUCAGCUCGUGCCGUGAGGUGUCGGCUUAAGUGCCAUAACGAGCGCAACCCCUUUCGCCAGUUGCCAGCACGCGAUGGUGGGCACUCUGGGGACACUGCCACCGUAAGGUGCGAGGAAGGUGGGGAUGACGUCAAAUCAGCACGGCCCUUACGUCCGGGGCUACACACGUGGAACGAUGGGGGGUACAGAGAGCUGGCCGCUCGCAAGAGCGGCCGAAUCAGGAAAGCCUCCCUCAGUUCGGAUUGGGGUCUGCAACCCGACCCCAUGAAGCUGGA